CCUACGGGAGGCAGCAGUGAGGAAUAUUGGUCAAUGGCCGGAAGGCUGAACCAGCCAUGCCGCGUGAAGGUCAGUGCUCUAUGGGCGUUAAACUUCUUUUGUUCGGGAGCAAUAAUGCUCACGUGUGGCCAGCCGAGAGUACCGUACGAAUCAGCAUCGGCUAACUCCGUGCCAGCAGCCGCGGUAAUACCUGGGAUGCAAGCGUUAUCCGGAUUUAUUGGGUUUAAAGGGUGCGUAGGCUGUGAGGUAGGUCCGCGGGGAAAUGCCCCCGCUCAACGGGGUGAAGUGCCGUUGAUACUGCCGGGAUGGAAUGCGGAUGCCGUAGGAGGAAUGUGUGGUGUAGCGGUGAAAUGCAUAGAUA
Molecule: ribosomal RNA, 361 nt
Filed under: uncultured bacterium
Lineage: Bacteria
Description: partial 16S ribosomal RNA
Rfam family: Bacterial small subunit ribosomal RNA
Source: RNAcentral